CCCUUAGAUGUCCUGGGCCGCACGCGCGCUACACUGAUGCAUUCAACGAGUUUUUCCUUGGCCGAGAGGCCUGGGCAAUCUUUUGAACGUGCAUCGUGAUAGGGAUAGAUUAUUGCAAUUUUUAAUCUUGAACGAGGAAUUCCUAGUAAACGCAGUUCAUCAAUCUGCAUUGAUUACGUCCCUGCCCUUUGUACACACCGCCCGUCGCACCUACCGAUUGAAUGGUCCGGUGAAGCCUCGGGAUUGUGGCUAGUUCCCUUCAUUGGGAGUUGGUUGCGAGAACUUGUCUAAACCUUAUCAUUUAGAGGAAGGUGAAGUCGUANCA
This 325-nucleotide ribosomal RNA is filed under the name uncultured eukaryote. RNAcentral's name for it is "partial 18S ribosomal RNA". It matches the Rfam family "Eukaryotic small subunit ribosomal RNA", at positions 1470 to 1796 of the family's 1831-position model. The record is from RNAcentral.